Molecule: long non-coding RNA, 2700 nt
Filed under: Haliotis rubra (blacklip abalone)
Lineage: Eukaryota; Metazoa; Mollusca; Gastropoda; Lepetellida; Haliotidae
Description: uncharacterized LOC124275915
Source: RNAcentral
AGUCACCAUUGGACAUUUUACGAAUCAAGAAUAUGACGUUUUAAAUAUGGACGGUGUGUUUGAUACUUACCUGAAAGGGUGGAGUGAUGAAGAGACGAAAUUAUUUGAUUCAGUGAUAUAUAUAAUGAUAUCAUUGAGACAUUUCUAUUUUCAAAGACGCAAAGACUUAAAAGAAAGCUGAAAUUUAUUGAAAUUGUGCUUUAAAGCCGCCUCAAUUGUGACAUAACUGUUUGAUAGUACCUUCGGACAGCGCCAGGUACGAUCGAUGUUCAAGUUAUCGAUCCAUCAUAUUCCCCUGUAAGGCUGUUGUUGUUGACAAUGGAUCAUUCAGAGAGACGUAACAGACGGUGGACCUGCUGAAAGGAGUUCUCUGUUUAACUACAGCUGUGGUGUUCAAUGUGUAUGAGACAGAACGUGUACAUGAACGUCUGACACCAGGGGAACGUCGUACAUGUGAAACAACUGUCAAGAAACAGCUUCUACACAUGUAAUAGCUUUUUGAAGUGGGCGUCUCUCAAAAAAUAGCUUUAUAUAAAUGGACUUCCAAAAAGGAAUAGCUUCCAGAAGUGGACGUCUAACACGGAAUAGUUUCUCAAAGUGGGAUCCUAUAAAAAAUAGCUUCCUACAUUCGAUGUCUAACAAGGGAUAGGUUCAAGGGAUGUGGUCGUCAGUACGAGAACUGCCUCCAGAAGUGGGCGUCUAUCAAAAUAUAGGUUCUGAAAGUGGACUUCCAACAAGGAAUGGUUUCUAGAUGUGGACGUCAUUCAGAGAACAGCUUCCAGAAGUGGAGGUCUAUUGAAGAAUAAUGUGGACCUCAAUAAAGUGGACGUCUAACGAGGAAUAGCUUUCAAAAUGGACGCCUAUCUACGAAUAGCUUCUAGCUAUGGACGUCUAUCAGAGAAUAGCUUCCAUAACUGGACGUCAACCAGGGAAUAACGUUUCGAAGCGGACGCAUAUCAAGGAAUGGAUUACAUCAGUGGAUGUCUUACAUAUCCGAAUUAUGUACACUUCGAAGGAAAAUCAAGUAACAGCUCUUUGCGGUGUAUAUCACAUGGUUGAACUGUGUCCUCGUUCGUUUCAUAGACAGAUCAGAAGAGAUAAGUAAGUGAACUGAACCAGAUUCGACUCCAGGCAUGUGUCUAGCUCAGAGCAGCAUAUUACACAAAGACGUUCGGAGACGACGUUUCCGAUUUUACCACUGAAUGAUGCCUUUCAGUAGACGUCAGGGCACUUGUUCACGCUUAACAUGGGAUAAAUGUUGAGCAGACCGCCAUACCAAUGCUAGAUAAUGUAAUUGCACUCGUAUUUUCGAUCGCCUUCCAUUUCUCCAACACCAUGCGGUAAUAGACUGGAAAUAGGCCUAUAUGCCAGAACAUCUGUUAUUACAACAUAGGGUACUGCAGGAAGUUGGCAUCGAUUUCCCCUAUUAAGUGGCAGUGUUGCACUUGGAGACAGAGUUGAGGCACUGAAGCUGUGCAAAGUGUGGUAUUGUCAUGGGACGUCUCACAGACCUCGGGUGGUUCUCGCCGAACGAGAAACGUUGGAUUCAGCUCAGAUCAUUUACACUUUAUUCUUUUCAACAGGAACGGGACUAGACGGUGUAUUCAAUAUUGAUAUAAACUGACAAUUAAUACGCUUCAAAGUUGCAGAGGGAUAUAGUUUAAUCUCGUUAAGUAAAUCAAAAAUGACAUGAAAAGAAUCUCAAUCAAAUGAAUUACUUAUAUGAAUGUUCCUACUUUGAACAUAACUAAAUAAAGUUUGCAAUGAAUUCAAAUGUAAAAUAAAACAAAUGUUUUACAUUUCUAUACAUGUAUACAAAUAUUAAAUGUAACUGUCAAGAGCAUUCUAAGGUGUGCCUAUAUCGUAGUACAGAAAAUGAUGAGUCAGCAAACAGAUAUAACGGUAGUUCUAUAUUAAGUACCUUCUACGUUAAAUGCAUCCCUUUUAUCGCUGGAAAUAGAUGAGCCGUGAGCUGCAAUGAAGCUUAAUGGGAGGCUGAUUAGGGAGGUAUCAGUGUCCACAACAACUGUAAAGGUUAAUACGGUGGCCCGAGCUUCGUGUCUAGGGUUACACUAUAUUCAGAUUAAAACUUGGUUUCCACCUUCUGGACGGUGUAGCUAAGUGUAUUGAGUGCGUGCGUGAUUUGGAACGGGAAAUCGGAGAGUUUGAUUGGGACACCUGUUUCCAGGAAGAGAACGACGUGAGCUUUGUUGAUAGUGUUGGUUGUAGGUCUGCCGGGAUGGGUAAAGAAUAAUAAAGCUUUGUGAUGGGUGAUGUGGAGGGCAUUUCAAAAUGUGACACUUAAGUGACAAAUGCCAGUUGCAUGUGCAGCAGUUUAAUACUUUGACCUUGUUCCCGAGUUGAUUUUUUCAGGUGAACGCUUGACAUGCUUUUGCAUGUAUUUCGGACAGGUGCUACGGGUUGGGCAGGACUCUUUCGCCAGUUUCACGGACACCAGGUGUCAUUCCCAUUUGAUACCGGUUCAUAAAUACAUGCUUUUGUUAACGUGAAUUGACGAAUUACAAUAGUAGAAAGAUGUUUGUCUUGUAUUUAUACAGACUAUACCAAUAUGAUGGGAAGGAGUUAUUUUGUGUUUCAACACAGGGGACACUAACACUACUGUUAGAAUAACAGAUUGCACUGUUAUUCUAUUUCAACAGCAUUAACUUGCUAUGAUAAUAAAGUCAAGCAUAUACAUAC